Molecule: ribosomal RNA, 253 nt
Filed under: uncultured bacterium
Lineage: Bacteria
Description: partial 16S ribosomal RNA
Rfam family: Bacterial small subunit ribosomal RNA
Source: RNAcentral
UACGAAGGGGGCUAGCGUUGCUCGGAAUCACUGGGCGUAAAGGGUGCGUAGGCGGGUCUUUAAGUCAGGGGGGAAAUCCUGGAGCUCAACUCCAGAACUGCCUUUGAUACUGAGGAUCUUGAGUUCGGGAGAGGUGAGUGGAACUGCGAGUGUAGAGGUGAAAUUCGUAGAUAUUCGCAAGAACACCAGUGGCGAAGGCGGCUCACUGGCCCGAUACUGACGCUGAGGCACGAAAGCGUGGGGAGCAAACAGG